UCUGGUGGUUAUAGCGAGGGUUCAGCACCCGAUUCCAUUCCGAACUCGGACGUGAAACCCCUCAGCGCCGAUGGUACUACAUCACGGAGGUGUGGGAGAGUAGGUCGCUGCCAGAC
RNAcentral lists this ribosomal RNA (116 nucleotides) under uncultured bacterium KM3-23-D4. The record is from RNAcentral.